AGAGUUUGAUCCUGGCUCAGGAUGUUGCUGGCGGCGUGCUUAACACAUGCAAGUCGAACGGUGAAGCCAAGCUUGCUUGGUGGAUCAGUGGCGAACGGGUGAGUAACACGUGAGCAACCUGCCCUGGACUCUGGGAUAAGCGCUGGAAACGGCGUCUAAUACUGGAUAUGAGCUCUCAUCGCAUGGUGGGGGUUGGAAAGAUUUUUCGGUCUGGGAUGGGCUCGCGGCCUAUCAGCUUGUUGGUGAGGUAAUGGCUCACCAAGGCGUCGACGGGUAGCCGGCCUGAGAGGGUGACCGGCCACACUGGGACUGAGACACGGCCCAGACUCCUACGGGAGGCAGCAGUGGGGAAUAUUGCACAAUGGGCGGAAGCCUGAUGCAGCAACGCCGCGUGAGGGAUGACGGCCUUCGGGUUGUAAACCUCUUUUAGCAGGGAAGAAGCGAGAGUGACGGUACCUGCAGAAAAAGCGCCGGCUAACUACGUGCCAGCAGCCGCGGUAAUACGUAGGGCGCAAGCGUUAUCCGGAAUUAUUGGGCGUAAAGAGCUCGUAGGCGGUUUGUCGCGUCUGCUGUGAAAUCCCGAGGCUCAACCUCGGGCCUGCAGUGGGUACGGGCAGACUAGAGUGCGGUAGGGGAGAUUGGAAUUCCUGGUGUAGCGGUGGAAUGCGCAGAUAUCAGGAGGAACACCGAUGGCGAAGGCAGAUCUCUGGGCCGUAACUGAUGCUGAGGAGCCAAAGGGUGGGGAGCAAACAGGCUUAGAUACCCUGGUAGUCCACCCCGUAAACGUUGGGAACUAGUGUGGGGACCAUUCCACGGUUUCCGUGACGCAGCUAACGCAUUAAGUUCCCCGCCUGGGGAGUACGGCCGCAAGGCUAAAACUCAAAGGAAUUGACGGGGACCCGCACAAGCGGCGGAGCAUGCGGAUUAAUUCGAUGCAACGCGAAGAACCUUACCAAGGCUUGACAUACACCAGAACACCGUAGAAAUACGGGACUCUUUGGACACUGGUGAACAGGUGGUGCAUGGUUGUCGUCAGCUCGUGUCGUGAGAUGUUGGGUUAAGUCCCGCAACGAGCGCAACCCUCGUUCUAUGUUGCCAGCACGUAAUGGUGGGAACUCAUGGGAUACUGCCGGGGUCAACUCGGAGGAAGGUGGGGAUGACGUCAAAUCAUCAUGCCCCUUAUGUCUUGGGCUUCACGCAUGCUACAAUGGCCGGUACAAAGGGCUGCAAUACCGUGAGGUGGAGCGAAUCCCAAAAAGCCGGUCCCAGUUCGGAUUGAGGUCUGCAACUCGACCUCAUGAAGUCGGAGUCGCUAGUAAUCGCAGAUCAGCAACGCUGCGGUGAAUACGUUCCCGGGUCUUGUACACACCGCCCGUCAAGUCAUGAAAGUCGGUAACACCUGAAGCCGGUGGCCCAACCCUUGUGGAGGGAGCCGUCGAAGGUGGGAUCGGUAAUUAGGACUAAGUCGUAACAAGGUAACCGUA
This 1484-nucleotide ribosomal RNA is filed under the name Microbacterium sp. MC3B-10. RNAcentral describes it as "16S ribosomal RNA". It matches the Rfam family "Bacterial small subunit ribosomal RNA". Lineage: Bacteria; Bacillati; Actinomycetota; Actinomycetes; Micrococcales; Microbacteriaceae. The record is from RNAcentral.